Molecule: long non-coding RNA, 236 nt
Filed under: Manihot esculenta (cassava)
Lineage: Eukaryota; Viridiplantae; Streptophyta; Magnoliopsida; Malpighiales; Euphorbiaceae
Description: long non-coding RNA (MESC_LNC007335)
Source: RNAcentral
AAAUAUGGAAAGUGCUAAAUAAGGAAAGUUUUCUGAUAAGGAAAGUGCCAGAAAAGGAAAGCGCAAUCAACAGAUUCUUUGAAAUUCAAAUUGCAGAUUCUUCUUUCCUUAUUCAGAAGGUGAAGCCAAUUAUGGAAAGUGUCAAAUAAGGAAAGUUUUCAGAAAAGGAAAGUCCUCAAAUAAGGGAAGUGCAGAAGCAAAAGCAAAUAAGGAAAGCUCAGUCAGAAGAUUAUUUG